RNAcentral lists this ribosomal RNA (494 nucleotides) under uncultured bacterium. RNAcentral's name for it is "partial 16S ribosomal RNA". It matches the Rfam family "Bacterial small subunit ribosomal RNA", at positions 29 to 507 of the family's 1533-position model. The record is from RNAcentral.
ACGAACGCUGGCGGCGUGCCUAAUACAUGCAAGUAGAACGCUGAAGGAGGAGCUUGCUUCUCUGGAUGAGUUGCGAACGGGUGAGUAACGCGUAGGUAACCUGCCUGGUAGCGGGGGAUAACUAUUGGAAACGAUAGCUAAUACCGCAUAAGAGUAGAUGUCGCAUGACAUUUGCUUAAAAGGUGCAAUUGCAUCACUACCAGCUGGACCUGCGUUGUAUUAGCUAGUUGGUGAGGUAACGGCUCACCAAGGCAACGAUACAUAGCCGACCUGAGAGGGUGAUCGGCCACACUGGGACUGAGACACGGCCCAGACUCCUACGGGAGGCAGCAGUAGGGAAUCUUCGGCAAUGGACGGAAGUCUGACCGAGCAACGCCGCGUGAGUGAAGAAGGUUUUCGGAUCGUAAAGCUCUGUUGUAAGAGAAGAACGAGUGUGAGAGUGGAAAGUUCACACUGUGACGGUAUCUUACCAGAAAGGGACGGCUAACUACGUG